Molecule: long non-coding RNA, 1215 nt
Filed under: Zea mays
Lineage: Eukaryota; Viridiplantae; Streptophyta; Magnoliopsida; Poales; Poaceae
Description: long non-coding RNA NONZMAT002277
Source: RNAcentral
AUACGCUUCUGAUCCGUACAAGUUUCCACAAAAGUUGGUGUGAUUAUGGUUGGGCGGGAAAGUUGGAAGAACAAAUCGCUAGGGCAACAAGAAGAGAUGACGUCAAAAACACUAAAGUAAGAGUUUGAUUGGUUGCUUUGCUAUGGCCUAUGUGAAAAAAAAUAGCGACCUGCGACGUGCGAUCGCAUGCACACACAUAUUAUUAACAAAAAAAAUCUUAAUUGAAUUUAUUCAUAUUCAUGUUUUCGUGUCAUACGCGCCAAACACGGGUCAGUGACUAUUUCAUUAAAAUUCAAUACCGACCUAUAAAUAUAUAACUGACAUUGAUGUGAUUUGGCAACUCAACGAUAUGAUGAUGUCCUAUGACCAUCAGUCUAGCGGUUGACAAAAUUUAUGAAGCAAAAGGGACUUGAAGGGCUAAAGUCCAAACUUUUGCGGCUUCAUUUCAUUAAUUUCCACCCCACGCCUCUACGUGGAGUUAAUAUUAACGCUUGCGUCCUGGGUCGUUUCAUUUAAAUUGAGUGUUCCUGCAGCAGACCCUAAGAGCAUAUCCAAGAGACUAGCUAAGGGGGUGUUUAGUAGUAAAGUUUUUUCACAGUUUUGGAAGAAUACUGCAGUAUUCUCAAAUACUGCAGUAUUAUAUACAGAAUGGUGUUUGGCAAGCUGGCUAAAAUCUCUGUUUUCAAAACUGAAGUAUUGGAAAUACUAUAGUUGUUUUAAGGUAUUCUAAACUUAGGUCUGGACCUCAGUUUCCAAAAUUGUGGUAUUGUAAACUGCGGUAUUGUUAUGACUAAAGUAUACUGUAGUUUUCAAAAACUGUGGUUUUCAAAAACUUUGUUCCCAAACAGGGCCUAAAUAGUUUGUCAAGCUAAAUUUUAGCUAUUUAAUAACGAAAUAGCUCUCCAACAGACUAGCCAUUUAAAUUGUCAAAUUAUCCGGCUCUCUAAAUUGACUCUCUUACUAGCCAAAUUUGGCUAGCAACUUUCGCUAGCCAAGCUAAAUUGAAUGUUAGAGAAUCUGUUGGAAUGAGAUGUUAUAUAUAUAGUUUAAUUUUUAUGGAGAGACAAAUACAGAGUCAAAUAAAGAGUCAAAAGUAAAAAGUUUCUUGGAGAUGCUCUAAAUUCAAUAUACAUGCCAUGUCACACAAACUAUCAAGUGCUGCUCUAGGUAUAAUUUAUCCACGGAGAACUUCACAGUGCCUUUGUUUUAAUAAUU